GGACAAUGAAUAAUAAACAAAUGUAAAAUAUAUAUACACAAAAUAUUAUAUAUAGUGUAUGUAUAUUUAUAUGUAUACAUAUUAGGAUGCAUAAUAUACAUGAUUAUUAGAAUGUGAUUUAUGCUGUAGAAAAAAAUUUAUUUUUUUAUUUUUAAUUUUUAUUUUUUUGCUUUUUUAGGGUCACACCCAUGGCCUUUAGAAGUUCCCCUGAGGCUAGGGGUCUAAUCAGAGAUACAGCUGUCGGCCUACACCACAGCCACAGCAACACAGGAUCUGAGCCUCGUCUGUGACCUACUGCACAGCUCACGGCAAUGCCAGAUCCUUAACCCACUGAGCGAGACCAGGGAUCGAACCGGCAACUUCAUGGUUCCUAGUGGGAUUUGUUUCCACUGCUCCACAACUGGAACUCCAGAAAACAAAUUUUAAGGAGACGUGGUUGUGCACCCAUGAAACUGACCUUGUUUGGGAGUCAUGGACAUAUGCAUGAUAUUUAAAGCCAUGAGAUUGAAUGAGAUCAUCAAAGGAAUGAGAUCAUCAAAGGAUGGAGAAGAGGACCAGAUAGAAUACAUUUAUAUUUCAAAAAGCAAAGGAAAUUCUGCAAAGGACUCUUCUGCCACAUCCAGACCCGGCUUAUCCAGUCUAUCAUCUUCAGUGACGUCUCUGCCAGUUAUCCUGGAUCGUCAGAUAAAUUCUUCUCUGUGGACAUUUGAAGCACGAGGAGGAAUGCAUGAUUAACUUUUAGAGAUGAGCAGUCUAGAAUACACGAACUGUAGAUUAUUAUGUCUAAAAUAUCUUUUUCUGAAGAGCAGAGGCUGUGGUCAUCGGGAUGAACAAAACUGAGUAAGCAGAUGGGAGCUGCUUCAGGGAGUGUUGGGAGCUCAAGCUGUGUGAGAGGGGCUCAAAGCCCAGGGUGCUAGAUGGUGCCAGGUAAGCCCGGUGCCUGCCGUCCUCAAAGAGGCUGUCGGGAUUCAGUUCACCUUGCCGCUCAUCCCUGUUUCACUAAUCCACACCU
RNAcentral lists this long non-coding RNA (1012 nucleotides) under Sus scrofa (pig). Its description in RNAcentral is "lncRNA (ENSSSCG00070009613.1)". Lineage: Eukaryota; Metazoa; Chordata; Mammalia; Artiodactyla; Suidae. The record is from RNAcentral.